GGAUUAGGCAUGCAAGUCGUACGAGAAAGUCACCUUCGGGUGGCGAGUAAAGUGGCGAACGGGUGAGUAACGCGUGGGAAACCUGCCCUCUGAGAUGGGGAUAACACUCCUAACGGGGUGCUAAUACCGAAUGAGACCACGAAGCUGCAUGGCUUUGCGGUUAAAGGUGGCCUCUACUUGUAAGCUACCGCUUGAGGAUGGUCCCGCGUCCCAUUAGCUAGUUGGUGGGGUAAAAGCCUACCAAGGCUCCGAUGGGUAGCUGGUCUGAGAGGAUGGUCAGCCACACUGGGACUGAGAUACGGCCCAGACUCCUACGGGAGGCAGCAGUCGAGAGGCUUCGGCAAUGGGGGAAACCCUGACCGAGCGACGCCGCGUGGGCGAUGAAGGCCGUAAGGUUGUAAAGCCCUGUCAGGAGGGAAGAACGCAAACGUGCAAACAGUGCGUUUGUUUGACGGUACCUCCAGAGGAAGCUCCGGCUAACUCCGUGCCAGCAGCCGCGGUAAUA
This 505-nucleotide ribosomal RNA is filed under the name uncultured bacterium. RNAcentral's name for it is "bacterial SSU rRNA". It matches the Rfam family "Bacterial small subunit ribosomal RNA", at positions 46 to 525 of the family's 1533-position model. The record is from RNAcentral.